Molecule: ribosomal RNA, 774 nt
Filed under: uncultured Neocallimastigales
Lineage: Eukaryota; Fungi; Neocallimastigomycota; Neocallimastigomycetes; Neocallimastigales
Description: partial large subunit ribosomal RNA
Rfam family: Eukaryotic large subunit ribosomal RNA
Source: RNAcentral
UAUCUCUGUAGAGUCUGCAUAUCAAUAAGCGGAGGAAAAGAAACUAACAAGGAUUCCCCUAGUAACGGCGAGUGAAGCGGGAAGAGCUCAAAUUUGAAAUCUUCAAGGUUUGACCUUGACGAAUUGUAGUUUAAAGAAGUGUUUUCGGUUAGAGGAGUAGUAAAAGUUCUUUGGAAUAGGACAUCAUAGAGGGUGAGAAUCCCGUAUUUGACUAUUCUUUCUAGCUUUGUGAUACACUUUCAAAGAGUCGGAUUGUUUGGGAAUGCAGUCCAAAAUGGGUGGUAAAUUUCAUCUAAAGCUAAAUAUUGGCGAGAGACCGAUAGCGAACAAGUACCGUGAGGGAAAGAUGAAAAGAACUUUGAAAAGAGAGUUAAACAGUACGUGAAAUUGUCAAAAGGGAAGCGUUUGACACCAGUGUUGUUUUUCCGAAAAUCAAUUAAAAAUUGAUUCAUGCCAGGUUGUAUUGACCUUAUCAGCUUGCAAUUUGGUUUUGGGUCUCUUUUUGAUGCACUUUUCGGUUAACAAGUCAACAUCAAUUUCCUUUGCUGUAAAAAGGUAAGAGGAAGGUGGCUUCAAUUUCGGUUGAAGUGUUUAUAGCCUUUUAUCUCUGCAGUCGGGGAGAUUGAGGUCUGCAGCGUAGAUCCUUCGGGGCUAGAUACAUUUAUGCUAAGUUAUAGCUUUUCAUAGACAACUUGUUGACUACGUUUAGUCAUGUAGGCUUACUCGUAGUGCUAUUUUACCUACGCUUAGGAUGUUGAAGACUCUACAGAGAUA